GAUGAACGCUGGCGGCGUGCUUAACACAUGCAAGUCGAACGGAGCACCCUUGAUAGAGGUUUCGGCCAAUUGAUAGGAAUGUUCAGUGGCGGACGGGUGAGUAACGCGUGAGCAACCUACCUUUCAGUGGGGAAUAACAGCUGGAAACGGCUGAUAAUACCGCAUAAUGUAUCGGAAUCACAUGGUUCUGAUACCAAAGAUUUAUCGCUGAAAGAUGGGCUCGCGUCUGAUUAGCUAGUUGGUGGGGUAAUGGCCCACCAAGGCGACGAUCAGUAGCCGGACUGAGAGGUUGACCGGCCACAUUGGGACUGAGAUACGGCCCAGACACCUACGGGAGGCAG
Molecule: ribosomal RNA, 341 nt
Filed under: uncultured Bacillota bacterium
Lineage: Bacteria; Bacillati; Bacillota
Description: bacterial SSU rRNA
Rfam family: Bacterial small subunit ribosomal RNA
Source: RNAcentral